ACUCCUACGGGAGGCAGCAGUGGGGAAUUUUGGACACUGGGCGAAAGCCUGAUCCAGCAAUGCCGCGUGAGUGAAGAAGGCCUUCGGGUUGUAAAGCUCUUUUGUCAGGGAAGAAACGGUGAAAGCUAAUAUCUUUUGCUAAUGACGGUACCUGAAGAAUAAGCACCGGCUAACUACGUGCCAGCAGCCGCGGUAAUACGUAGGGUGCAAGCGUUAAUCGGAAUUACUGGGCGUAAAGCGUGCGCAGGCGGUUUUGUAAGUCUGAUGUGAAAUCCCCGGGCUCAACCUGGGAAUUGCAUUGGAGACUGCAAGGCUAGAAUCUGGCAGAGGGGGGUAGAAUUCCACGUGUAGCAGUGAAAUGCGUAGAUAUGUGGAGGAACACCGAUGGCGAAGGCAGCCCCCUGGGUCAAGAUUGACGCUCAUGCAGGAAAGCGUGGGGAGCAAACAGGAUUAGAAACCCCAGUAGUCCC
RNAcentral lists this ribosomal RNA (470 nucleotides) under uncultured organism. RNAcentral's name for it is "partial 16S ribosomal RNA". It matches the Rfam family "Bacterial small subunit ribosomal RNA", at positions 335 to 797 of the family's 1533-position model. The record is from RNAcentral.